AUGCAGGAGGACUGCAUGUGUAUACAUAAGUCGCUGCGUCCGGCCGCUGCGCCCGCGUGUUUCCUACCUCUUUCCGCGGAGAUCGACGACGCCGAGGAGGACCUCCGGCGCGCGUUGCUUGCCACGGUCGCGGGGUGCAGGACCGGGGUCUCAUGUCGGGAGGUCUCCGACGUGAUCUGCUCGCGUUUUGGCAUCCCAGAGGCGCGCUUCUCGGUUCACCGCCACUUGCCGGAGGAUUUCCUCAUCCGCUUCCAGCGUGCGGAGGAUCGGGCCCUGGUGGCAAAUGAUGGCGUUCGCACCGCCCGUUUCCGCCUGCUGCUUCACCCGUGGAGCGCGCUUGUCGGUGCGGAGCAGGUGCGCGCCCGCUUCCGGGUGCACCUCGAGCUCACCGGUGUGCCUGAUCAUGUCUGGCACCGCGCCACCGCGGUCACGCUGCUCUCGCCGUUCUGCUUGGUGGAGCACCUCGAGCCGCGCACUCGCCGUGGCGUCGCCCUGGACAUCUUCCGGCUCCCGGCCUGGACGGCCAACCCUGACGCGAUCCCCCUCGCCGCCGACCUCUUCCUCCCGGUGCGUGAUGGCGUUGCCGUCGACGCGGACCCGGACGUUGCCGAGCGCCUUGGCAUGGACCUACCGCGUUUCCCAGUAGCGAUUCAUGUGGCCCGCUGCGAGGAUUUCCGUCGACCCGUCCCGCCGCCUCCGCCACCGCGUGUCUCUCCAGGCCCCGACUCUGAUGAUGGCAAUGGCCCCGGCCAGGGCUCUCCACCCUGUCCUGCGCCCUAG
Molecule: ribosomal RNA, 780 nt
Filed under: Triticum aestivum (bread wheat)
Lineage: Eukaryota; Viridiplantae; Streptophyta; Magnoliopsida; Poales; Poaceae
Description: partial small subunit ribosomal RNA
Source: RNAcentral